RNAcentral lists this ribosomal RNA (468 nucleotides) under uncultured bacterium. RNAcentral describes it as "partial 16S ribosomal RNA". It matches the Rfam family "Bacterial small subunit ribosomal RNA", at positions 28 to 507 of the family's 1533-position model. The record is from RNAcentral.
GACGAACGCUGGCGGCGUGCUUAACACAUGCAAGUCGAACGGAAAGGCCCUGCUUUUGUGGGGUGCUCGAGUGGCGAACGGGUGAGUAACACGUGAGUAACCUGCCCUUGACUUUGGGAUAACUUCAGGAAACUGGGGCUAAUACCGGAUAGGAGCUCCUGCUGCAUGGUGGGGGUUGGAAAGUUUCGGCGGUUGGGGAUGGACUCGCGGCUUAUCAGCUUGUUGGUGGGGUAGUGGCUUACCAAGGCUUUGACGGGUAUCCGGCCUGAGAGGGUGACCGGCCACAUUGGGACUGAGAUACGGCCCAGACUCCUACGGGAGGCAGCAGUGGGGAAUAUUGCACAAUGGGCGGAAGCCUGAUGCAGCAACGCCGCGUGCGGGAUGACGGCCUUCGGGUUGUAAACCGCCUUCGCCUGUGACGAAGCGUGAGUGACGGUAAUGGGUAAAGAAGCACCGGCUAACUACGUG